CGUUCCUGCCCCAGAACUCAGUUGGGGGCUCGGAGCAGGAGAAGCUGCACACGGUGGAUGAAGACCUGAUCAUUGAAGUUCACCAGUUAUUUUUCUCAAGAAUGUGAAUAACAAUGGGAUUUGCACUCAUUAUAUUUUUAGAAUGGCUUCGCAUAAUUUUCAUGCAUCCUGUGGACGAUGAACACAAAUGCAGCUGUGGCCGUGCGUGGCCUGUGUGUGUUGAACGCGUUCCUGCCGUGCGGGAGCCGCCUACCCAGCGGAGCCUCAGAGUCUGAGUUCUCAAUGAGUCAACAUUUUGGGUGUGUAUGCCAAGAGGUGACACGAAACAGAAGUUGGGAUCACUGUGGUUAACCUGAGCAUGUUGGAGACCAAGGAGAGGCUGAUGUUAAUGUUGGAUUUUUGUGAAAAAAGAUUCCUUUCAAAGAAAGACCUGUGACAGUUGGUAAUUGCAGCUAAUGUGUUUCCACAAACAGCCAUUUUGUGUUGGCAUCACACCGUCCACCAUCAGGGUUGCUGACAGGAGCAGUGUUCAGGAGUCUCAGACAGUGGAUUGUGCUGCUUCAGGCGCCUGGUGACUGGAAGGUUUGCAGGCUGCCAGGGGCCUCAGCUGAAGACCUGGACACACAGGACCCACAGAGGCAAAUUGUUCAGUUGACUGUACGGUGUGAGAAUGAAACACUAAUUCCCCUUCUCUACCUCAUAUGAGAAAUGUGAAUUGUCUUUUUUAAAUUUGGGAAUCUGG
Molecule: long non-coding RNA, 742 nt
Filed under: Pan troglodytes (chimpanzee)
Lineage: Eukaryota; Metazoa; Chordata; Mammalia; Primates; Hominidae
Description: lincRNA
Source: RNAcentral